This 332-nucleotide ribosomal RNA is filed under the name uncultured bacterium. RNAcentral's name for it is "bacterial SSU rRNA". It matches the Rfam family "Bacterial small subunit ribosomal RNA", at positions 568 to 898 of the family's 1533-position model. The record is from RNAcentral.
CGUGUAGGCGGCUUCUUAAGUCUGAUGUGAAAGCCCUGGGCUCAACCCGGGAAGUGCAUUGGAAACUGGGAAACUUGAAUACGGGAGAGGGUAGUGGAAUUCCUGGUGUAGGAGUGAAAUCCGUAGAUAUCAGGAGGAACACCGGUGGCGAAGGCGGCUACCUGGACCGAUAUUGACGCUGAGACGCGAAAGCGUGGGGAGCAAACAGGAUUAGAUACCCUGGUAGUCCACGCCGUAAACGAUGAGUACUAGGUGUUGCGGGUAUUGACCCCUGCAGUGCCGCAGCUAACGCAUUAAGUACUCCGCCUGGGAAGUACGGUCGCAAGACUAAA